GUCUGCUAAGCUUCCUUACCCAUCAGAAUUAACUGGAACGUCAUUUGAUCAAGCUGAAAGAAAAUUUGGUUUCAUGCGAGUCUUGUGGCAGUCCAGCAAACUACUUGUGUUGCCUGCUCGGUGAAUAAAUAGUACCUAAGUUCUGUAUUGAUAGUUCCUGUGGAAGAUUCGAGGUUUACAAGUUGGGCGGGCCUAUGAAGAUUGUGUAGGGUCUUACAAUUGUAUCUUCCCCAUGCUGUCACUGUGCAGACCAUUAUAUCUGAUUCUCUUGAUCUGGAAAACUAUCCAGUCCUAACUGAGAGGUGUUACUAUCCCGGUGUGUCUUGUUGGGGCCGUCAGAUGUCUCGGGAUAGUCCCCAUCCUACCGUGCAUGAUGCAAACCUUGAUGUUUAGGAUGUACAAGACCCAGAUUCUGAAAGACUAGUCUCAGUCAUUUGCUACCUGUACAUUGUGGAGGUUUAGGAUGUACAAGAUUACUAUUUACUGUUCUCAUGCAACAUCUUGUAUUACUUAAUAUGGUAAAUUAGAAAAACAGGAUAAUUUUGUCACAUAAU
RNAcentral lists this unclassified non-coding RNA (554 nucleotides) under Hevea brasiliensis (rubber tree). Lineage: Eukaryota; Viridiplantae; Streptophyta; Magnoliopsida; Malpighiales; Euphorbiaceae. The record is from RNAcentral.